RNAcentral lists this ribosomal RNA (1172 nucleotides) under Neobacillus cucumis. RNAcentral describes it as "partial 23S ribosomal RNA". It matches the Rfam family "Bacterial large subunit ribosomal RNA", at positions 381 to 1551 of the family's 2925-position model. The record is from RNAcentral. Lineage: Bacteria; Bacillati; Bacillota; Bacilli; Caryophanales; Bacillaceae.
GAAACUUCGUUCCCUCCUGAGUGGAUCCUGAGUACGGCCGGACACGUGAAAUCCGGUCGGAAGCAGGGAGGACCAUCUCCCAAGGCUAAAUACUCCCUAGUGACCGAUAGUGAACCAGUACCGUGAGGGAAAGGUGAAAAGCACCCCGGAAGGGGAGUGAAAUAGUUCCUGAAACCGUGUGCCUACAAGUAGUUAGAGCCCGUUAAUGGGUGAUAGCGUGCCUUUUGUAGAAUGAACCGGCGAGUUACGAUUACAUGCAAGGUUAAGUUGAAGAGACGGAGCCGCAGCGAAAGCGAGUCUGAAUAGGGCGAAUGAGUAUGUGGUCGUAGACCCGAAACCAGGUGAUCUACCCAUGUCCAGGGUGAAGUCCAGGUAACACUGGAUGGAGGCCCGAACCCACGCACGUUGAAAAGUGCGGGGAUGAGGUGUGGGUAGCGGAGAAAUUCCAAUCGAACUUGGAGAUAGCUGGUUCUCUCCGAAAUAGCUUUAGGGCUAGCCUCACGUAGUAAGAGUCUUGGAGGUAGAGCACUGUUUGGACUAGGGGCCCUCAUCGGGUUACCGAAUUCAGACAAACUCCGAAUGCCAAAGACUUAUCCGUGGGAGUCAGACUGCGAGUGAUAAGAUCCGUAGUCAAAAGGGAAACAGCCCAGACCACCAGCUAAGGUCCCAAAGUAUACGUUAAGUGGAAAAGGAUGUGGAGUUGCUUAGACAACCAGGAUGUUGGCUUAGAAGCAGCCACCAUUUAAAGAGUGCGUAAUAGCUCACUGGUCGAGUGACUCUGCGCCGAAAAUGUACCGGGGCUAAACGUAUCACCGAAGCUGUGGAUUGACAUCUUAGAUGUCAGUGGUAGGAGAGCGUUCUAAGGGCGUUGAAGCUAGACCGUAAGGACUGGUGGAGCGCUUAGAAGUGAGAAUGCCGGUAUGAGUAGCGAAAGAUGAGUGAGAAUCUCAUCCACCGAAUGCCUAAGGUUUCCUGAGGAAGGCUCGUCCGCUCAGGGUUAGUCGGGACCUAAGCCGAGGCCGAAAGGCGUAGGCGAUGGACAACAGGUUGAUAUUCCUGUACCACCUCUUUAUCGUUUGAGUGAUGGGGGGACGCAGGAGGAUAGGGUAAGCGCACUGCUGGAUAUGUGCGUGUAAGCAGUUAGGCUGGUGAAUAGGAAAAUCCGUUCACCG